GGCUGGGGCUCAGUGGUGGAGCACUUGCCUAGCAAGCAUGAAGCCCUGGUUUCAAUCCUCAGCACCA
Molecule: transfer RNA, 67 nt
Filed under: Marmota monax (woodchuck)
Lineage: Eukaryota; Metazoa; Chordata; Mammalia; Rodentia; Sciuridae
Description: tRNA.Ala
Source: RNAcentral